Molecule: ribosomal RNA, 466 nt
Filed under: uncultured bacterium
Lineage: Bacteria
Description: partial 16S ribosomal RNA
Rfam family: Bacterial small subunit ribosomal RNA
Source: RNAcentral
GACGAACGCUGGCGGCGUGCUUAACACAUGCAAGUCGAACGGAAAGGCUCCAGCUUGCUGGAGUACUCGAGUGGCGAACGGGUGAGUAACACGUGGGUAAUCUGCCCUGCACUCUGGGUAAGGCCGGGAAACUUGGGCUAAUACUGGAUAUGAACCUUCUCCUUUUUGGGGUUGGUGGGAAGUUUUUCGGUGUAGGAUGAGCCCGCGGCCUAUCAGCUUGUUGGUGGGGUGAUGGCUUACCAAGGCGACGACGGGUAGCCGGCCUGAGAGGGUGAUCGGCCACAUUGGGACUGAGAUACGGCCCAGACUCCUACGGGAGGCAGCAGUGGGGAAUAUUGCACAAUGGGCGGAAGCCUGAUGCAGCGACGCCGCGUGAGGGAUGACGGCCUUCGGGUUGUAAACCUCUUUCAGCAGGGACGAAGCGUAAGUGACGGUACCUGCAGAAGAAGCACCGGCUAACUAUGUG